This 459-nucleotide ribosomal RNA is filed under the name uncultured bacterium. Its description in RNAcentral is "bacterial SSU rRNA". It matches the Rfam family "Bacterial small subunit ribosomal RNA", at positions 338 to 795 of the family's 1533-position model. The record is from RNAcentral.
CCUANGGGGGGCAGCAGUGAGGAAUAUUGCGCAAUGCCCGAAAGGGUGACGCAGCGACGCCGCGUGAAGGAUGAAGGCCCUCUGGGUCGUAAACUUCUUUGGUAGGGGAAUAACAGGUCGCUACAGGCGGCCGUGAAUGUACCCUAAGAACAAGCAUCGGCUAACUACGUGCCAGCAGCCGCGGUAAUACGUAGGAUGCGAGCGUUGUCCGGAUUUACUGGGUGUAAAGGGAGCGCAGGCGGAUCGGUAAGUCGGUGGUGAAAUCCUCAGGCUCAACCUGGGAACUGCCACCGAAACUGCUGAUCUUGAGUGUGGAAGAGGUCGAUGGAAUUCCUGGUGUAGCAGUGAAAUGCGUAGAUAUCAGGAAGAACACCGAUGGCGAAGGCAGUCGACUGGUCCACAACUGACGCUCAUGCUCGAAAGCGUGGGGAUCAAACAGGAUUAGAUACCCGUNUANUC